UCAAAUACUGCUGGGUGAUAUUCUAAUGGUGUUUUCCUUUGAUGCUGCACUGAGGAAAGCAUCUGGAGAGGGUGCAGGAGGGUGAAAAAGCCAGACAUUUGCAAGUACAUAACAAACUGCACUUGAAAUUUCACACAAGAGCUCGUUGAUAUCUGCUCUGUGGGCUCUGAUGGUAGAAUGACACAUUAGAACUUGCCAGAGUCCUCACACCCGUGCUUCCACAGGCUAAGGCCCAAAUUAUUCUUCACUACUUAGGAAACUUGCUGCUUCCCAGAUAGUUGACACUUGAGUACCAAAUAAAUUUCUUUCCAGAUUGACCCACUCGACAGCUUCCACAACCAGGCACUCUUGUGACAAAAGCCAGCGGUGUAUGAAACUCACAUACGCUGUGCCAAAGCUGGAGUAGUAAUGCAAUGCAAACACCAGGCAUGAGAGAACGACUGGAUUAUUUCUCGGAAAAAAAAGAUUUCUCCUUGAGUAGCUUUUCUUGGCAUAGCUGUCCUGAGAAGUACUCUCUCCUCCAGCUGUUCUCUGCAUCCUCAGAUAAGUGAGGUCACCUCCAGGGGUUAGCCAAGGGGUACAAAACCUAGAGGUGGCCAAGAGGCAGCAACCAUGCACAACAGUGUGGAUGAAUAAGCAGUUUGGUGCUGAGCCCUGACAGCACAG
Molecule: long non-coding RNA, 666 nt
Organism: Vidua macroura (Pin-tailed whydah)
Lineage: Eukaryota; Metazoa; Chordata; Aves; Passeriformes; Viduidae
Exons: 3
Source: RefSeq, a predicted model, not a curated record